CUGGAUUGUUGGCAUCAAUUCUUCUUGCCGUUGUUGGUUGUUCCAUGGGUGAAAUACGUACUUCCGAAGCAGUUAUAUGUGUGAUAGCUUCCCAGAUCGCUAAUUUUGGUGAGAGCAUAAUAGGUGCUUCACUCCAAGGGAAAGAAGGAUUUCGAUGGCUUAACAAUGAUGCUGUUAAUGUCCUUAACAUAUCUAUGGGCAGCAUUUUAGCAGUCCUGAUGCAGCAAGUUGUACUCCGGAACUUGCACUUGUAAAUUCAUAAAAUUAUUUUAGGAGCUCAGAUGUCUUAUUUCUAAUCUGCUUUAAGAUUGUCAAGCAGUACAUACAUUUCAGCAAUGAAGAAAGUGUGAUAAGGGAUAGAUGAAGGCAUUUUGCCUUGUUUCACUUCUGGCAGUUGUGUCAAUUGCAUGGUUAUGUUCAAACAAAGAUACCCUCCCUUAUCAGCAGAUUGUCCGAGUUGCGCGGACAUCUUUCAUGAUGUAGACCCAAGAUUUCAGUUUUUCUCCACGUUACAGUUAAGAACCAAGGUGCUUCCGUAAGUAACUUGUUUAUUUUGCAGAUAACAUUCCCUCUAUGGUUAUAAGGUCCAAAACUCCCCUUUCAUUUAUCUGUACUAUUAUUAUUUGACAUGCUAAUUCCUCAGUUCAAAGUAAUGAAUGGAGAAAGUUCAACUGAGAGACUGGAAUUAUUUUAGCAAUUCUUCAUCAUCAGCCCAGCGGCAAAACAAUCUGCAAA
Molecule: unclassified non-coding RNA, 735 nt
Filed under: Hevea brasiliensis (rubber tree)
Lineage: Eukaryota; Viridiplantae; Streptophyta; Magnoliopsida; Malpighiales; Euphorbiaceae
Source: RNAcentral